RNAcentral lists this ribosomal RNA (381 nucleotides) under uncultured bacterium. Its description in RNAcentral is "bacterial SSU rRNA". It matches the Rfam family "Bacterial small subunit ribosomal RNA", at positions 115 to 532 of the family's 1533-position model. The record is from RNAcentral.
ACGUGGGUAAUUUACCUUUUUGUGGGGAAUAACCCUGGGAAACCGGGGCUAAUACCGCAUACGUCCGAGAGGAGAAAGUCGCAAGACGCAGAGAGAGAAGCCCGCGGUCGAUUAGCUAGUUGGCAGGGUAAUGGCCUACCAAGGCGACGAUCGAUAGCCGGCCUGAGAGGGCACACGGCCACACUGGCACUGAAAUACGGGCCAGACUCCUACGGGAGGCAGCAGUGGGGAAUCUUGCACAAUGGGGGAAACCCUGAUGCAGCGACGCCGCGUGAGCGAUGAAGCCCUUCGGGGUGUAAAGCUCUUUCGACGGGGACGAUAAUGACGGUWCCCGGAGAAGAAGCUGCGGCGUGCCAACAACCCGCGGGUUAUUCCGUUAGG